Molecule: long non-coding RNA, 758 nt
Filed under: Salmo salar (Atlantic salmon)
Lineage: Eukaryota; Metazoa; Chordata; Actinopteri; Salmoniformes; Salmonidae
Description: lncRNA (ENSSSAG00000122283.1)
Source: RNAcentral
CCUGUUCCUCUCUCUUCCUCUUCCUGUCUCUUCCUCUUCCUGUCUCUGAUCACACUUCGCGCCACUGAGGAUUUUUAAGGAGCUGCGUUGUCAACUUGUAUCAUCACAAUCAAUCAGAAAAGUCAUUUUGUUGUGUUGAUUAUGGACAUCAGACGGUUCUUUGUAUCAAGCAAACCCGCAGCGCAGAAACCGUCUCAGGAUGGAAACCUCAACACAGAGUCCCCGAAGAAGAAAUCCGUCUCAACAGACGAAGAAGUGAAGAAAAAGCAAACUGCUACCAAGGUGGUGAAGAAGAAGAAGAAGGACAGUGAUAAAAAGACAAAGAAGCGUGCUGUCAUUGAGUCAGGUAGGCUAGUUGAGAACAAAUUCUCAUUUGCAAAUGAGGCGACAUAUUCAUGAUUUAGGCGGAAUCCCGACCUAACACAAGGUCAGAGGGUCAGAGAGGCAGACUCUGAGGAGGAGGUAGUGGAGCAGAAGGUCCGGAAACAGCACCCUCCUCUUCCUCCUGCCAAGAAAGACCCGGUGCAGUAUGUCUCUGAGACAGAUUCAGACAGUGAUAACUUCCUGUCUCUGAAGAAGUCUGCAAAGCCCCAGGAUAAUGGAGUGACCAAACCAGGGAAGGCCCGCACCGGGACCAAAGAGAUCUACAGGUCCCCCUCGAAACCCACCCCUGCGCCCGCCAAGGGGAAAGGAGUGAUAAAGAAGUCUCCUCCAGCCCCCGUCACCCCUAAAUCAGCGCCCCAGCACACCAAACGCAC